Molecule: ribosomal RNA, 417 nt
Filed under: Triticum aestivum (bread wheat)
Lineage: Eukaryota; Viridiplantae; Streptophyta; Magnoliopsida; Poales; Poaceae
Description: partial small subunit ribosomal RNA
Source: RNAcentral
AUGGCCGCCACAAACCCAGGCAUGGUUCACGUGGUUGAGCCUCAUGGGCACCAAACUUUGAUUCAUAACGGGAGGACCGUCCGAGUAUUUGGCCGUGCAUUUUGGGCCUUUGAGCAAUGCGUGAGGGCUUUUGAGCAUUGUCGGCCCGUCAUCGCCAUUGAUGGCACGUUCUUGACCGGACAAUACAAGGGCACUUUAUUGGUUGCAAUAGCAAGUGAUGCCAAUAACCGGGUGUUGCCUUUGGCUUUCGCUUUGGUUGAGGUGGAGAACAAUGAUAACUGGGAGUGGUUCUUGCGUCAACUGAGAACAAGGGUAUUACCGGCUGAAAGGAAAAUUUGUGUCAUAUCGGAUUGCCAUGCUGGAAUUCUAAAUGCGACACGUGACAAGAAGGGGAAAUGGCCUCGCUCUACUCAGUAG